UCCGAGUUGACCCCGGCAGUCUCCUGCGAGUCCCCGCCAUUACGCGCUGGCAACACAGGACAAGGGUUGCGCUCGUUGCGGGACUUAACCCAACAUCUCACGACACGAGCUGACGACAACCAUGCACCACCUGUAUACGGCCCCGAAGGACACUGCAUCUCUGCAGCUUUUCUGUAUAUUUCAAGCCCUGGUAAGGUUCUUCGCGUUGCGUCGAAUUAAGCCACAUGCUCCACCGCUUGUGCGGGCCCCCGUCAAUUCCUUUGAGUUUCAGUCUUGCGACCGUACUCCCCAGGCGGAGUGCUUAAUGCGUUAGCUUCGCCACAAAAGGGGUCGAUUCCUUUUACAGUAAACGUGCACAGUUUACGGCUAGGACUAC
RNAcentral lists this unclassified non-coding RNA (376 nucleotides) under uncultured bacterium. RNAcentral's name for it is "contains 16S-23S intergenic spacer region". The record is from RNAcentral.